Molecule: ribosomal RNA, 471 nt
Filed under: Aphroceras seychellensis
Lineage: Eukaryota; Metazoa; Porifera; Calcarea; Leucosolenida; Grantiidae
Description: Aphroceras sp. MK-2020 partial large subunit ribosomal RNA
Source: RNAcentral
GAAAAGCACUUGAAAAGAGAGUUAAAAGCACGUGAAACCGUUGAAAGGGAAACGCGCUCGGCUAGCAAUGCGCGUCUGUGGUUCAGCCGGCUAGUCUUGUCGAGUCGUCGUGUGAUGGAUCCGAAUGGACUGUCCGCGGCGGCGGCGGUGGGCGAGCUAAGGUGCACUCCAUGGGCGUGCGCGUCAGCGUCGGUUCUCGACGGACGACAAGGUGUGUGGGAAAGGUAGCUCGGUCUUCGGACGGAGUGUUAUAGACCCGUGCACUGGGUUCGUUGUGGGACCGAGGAGAGAGAUGAUCGCUGCGGCACCUGCCUCUCGGGGCUAGCCAGCUGUUGUCAGGUGUGCGCCAGGCGCCGAGGACUGCACGCAGUGCUUGGUGUUGAGGUGUGAUCUGGUGGCGGUGUGGGUAUAGAGGUGCCUAGGACGCUGGCGUCCAAAUGGCCGUGCGCGACCCGUCUUGAAAACACGGAA